RNAcentral lists this ribosomal RNA (406 nucleotides) under uncultured bacterium. RNAcentral describes it as "partial 16S ribosomal RNA". It matches the Rfam family "Bacterial small subunit ribosomal RNA", at positions 30 to 526 of the family's 1533-position model. The record is from RNAcentral.
AUUGAACGCUGGCGGCAGGCCUAACACAUGCAAGUCGAACGAGUGGCGGACGGGUGAGUAAUGUCUGGGAAACUGCCUGAUGGAGGGGGAUAACUACUGGAAACGGUAGCUAAUACCGCAUACCAUCAGAUGUGCCCAGAUGGGAUUAGCUUGUUGGUGGGGUAACGGCUAACAAAGGCGAACAUCCCUAGCUGGUCUGAGAGGAUGACCAGCCAAAAUGGAACUGAGAAACGGUCCAGACUCCUACGGCAGGCAGCAGUGGGGAAUAUGGACCAAUGGGGGCAAGCCUGAUGCAGCCAUGCCGCGUGUAUGAAGAAGGCCUUCGGGUUGUAAAGUACUUUCAGCGGGGAGGCGUUACCCGCAGAAGAAGCACCUGCUAACUCCGUGCCAGCCGCAGCGGUAAUUC